Molecule: long non-coding RNA, 1377 nt
Organism: Physeter macrocephalus (sperm whale)
Lineage: Eukaryota; Metazoa; Chordata; Mammalia; Artiodactyla; Physeteridae
Exons: 3
Source: RefSeq, a predicted model, not a curated record
GCUCGCCCCGCUCCGGCCCCGGCUGCACCCCCGCCCGGAGGCCCGCCGUCGUCAACCGUGGGCGCCCCCCAGGCCCCCGAGUCCCCAGCCCCCGCUACCCCGGCGCCGGCCCCUCUCACCCUUUCAUUCUCUGCCCGGGGCCUGGCGCGGGCCGGCGAAUCCCCGGCCUCACAUCAGAGUGAGAGGCGCUGGCAAUGGACUAGGAAGCUCGGCCGCCGCGGCUACUGCUCCCCCCUGGGCUCCGGCGAGAGCCUUUCCCUGUCAAGCAAGAGGGGUGAGGAUCAUAUUUUUAUUUUGGAAACUAAAAAGUGCUCCCAGGGUCGGUGAUUAUUAAGGGGAAAUCCCUGAAUAUACUCUCCAGCCAAGAAGGCAGGGCUGCCGGAGCUGCACAAGAAGAGGCAGCAGCCUCCUACAGCACCACUACAGGCACUGCGAGGACAUAACACCAGAGAGCAGCUCCUCUGCCCUCCGAAACGACAACUUUCCUACCAUCUUGGAGGCAGAGGAAAGGGGGGCCGGGGGGAAAAGUGCACCCGCUCCCGGUAAAGUACAAAUUUCGACUUCUCAUCUCUGGAAAAAAGUCCACACCGGCCGUCUACACCGGCGCCUGGGGGAAAAAGCGGGGAAGAAACUGGGGGUGCUUGAGAAACGUUUGCAUUUGCACCAGGGGGAAAAUUGUUUCUGCAUCUUCUGAUGGCAAGAAAUCUUUACAAGACACAGGUUUUCCGAUCUAAGUUCUGGGUCUGGUGGUCAGUUUAUAAAUUUGGACUUCAAGAGACUUCCUAGCCACUUUAUUUGUCUACUUAUUUAUACGUUUUUGUAUUGAUAUACAGAGAGAUUUAUAUGAUUCCUUAUAUAUAAAAAUUUGUGUUAUAUAUUCCCCUCCAAACUGAGAUUGCUGGAAGACAGUUGUAAACGGAUGUCUUUUGUCUCCUUUUCUCAAAGCAAUGUAAAUAAAACCUAUUGAUUGUCCAGAAGGGCAAGAUGCAGCUGUUUAUUUUUCACAGUGCAAAUUAAGGCAGAGAUCACUGGGGGCAUAAAUACAACUUAAGUAUAACUGACCACCUUUAUAGAAAUAAUCCUAAUGCUGUUAUGGUCUGCCCAUGAAGAAAUGUUACUGUAAAACUGGAAACAGAUUUUAAAGACAGCUUUAGAUUUUCUCUAAGUACAAUUGCUUAUUUAGAAUUUUGUACAGGCAUUUAAUUUUUAUUUUACUUUAGAUCCUUUAAGGUUUAGAUCUUUGGUGCAUUACACAUGUUGCUAUCCACUUUCUGUGUCGCAGAAUUGAGAAAUGUGUCUAUUGUUGUUAGAGUUGAAAUGUUAAGAAUUUCUAAUGUGCUGCCAAACUGUGUGAAGUGCUUUUAAUAUAUUGCAGUG